RNAcentral lists this ribosomal RNA (398 nucleotides) under uncultured bacterium. RNAcentral describes it as "partial 16S ribosomal RNA". It matches the Rfam family "Bacterial small subunit ribosomal RNA", at positions 360 to 776 of the family's 1533-position model. The record is from RNAcentral.
AAUAUUGCACAAGGGAGGAAACUCUGAUGCAGCGAGGCCGCGCGAUUGAAGAAUGUCAUCGGAUCGUCCAACUCUGUUCUUGGUGAAGAUAAUGACGGUAGCCAAGGAGGCAGCCCCGGCUAACUACGAGCCAGCAGCUGCGGUAAUACGUAGGGGGCGAGCGUUGUCCGGAUUUACUGGGCGUAAAGGGUGAGUAGGCGGUUGCAUAUGUCAGAUGUAAAAGGCACAGGCUUAACUUGUGUUAGCAUUUGAAACUGUGCGACUUGAGUGCAGGAGAGGUAAGUGGAAUUCCUAGUGUAGCGGUGAAAUGCGUAGAUAUUAGGAGGAACACCAGUGGCGAAGGCGACUUACUGGACUGUAACUGACGCUGAGUCACGAAAGCGUGGGUAGCAAACAGG